This 59-nucleotide microRNA precursor is filed under the name Echinops telfairi (small Madagascar hedgehog). RNAcentral's name for it is "Ete-Mir-193-P1a_pre stem-loop". It matches the Rfam family "mir-193 microRNA precursor family", at positions 10 to 67 of the family's 76-position model. Lineage: Eukaryota; Metazoa; Chordata; Mammalia; Afrosoricida; Tenrecidae. The record is from RNAcentral.
CGGGGUUUUGAGGGCAAGAUGAGUUUUCGUGUUACCCAACUGGCCCACAAAGUCCCGCU